UACAGAGGGUGCAAGCGUUAAUCGGACUUACUGGGCGUAAAGGGUGCGUAGGUAGGAGUUUAAGUUAGUUGUGAAAGGCCAGGGCUUAACCUUGGAAUUGCAAUUAAGACUGGACAUCUAGAGUUGAGUAGAGGGGAGCGGAAUUUCCGGUGUAGCGGUGAAAUGCGUAGAUAUCGGAAGGAACACCGAUGGCGAAAGCAGCGUGCUGGACCUUUUCUGACGCCGAGGCGCGAAAGCCAGGGGAGCAAACGGG
Molecule: ribosomal RNA, 253 nt
Filed under: uncultured bacterium
Lineage: Bacteria
Description: partial 16S ribosomal RNA
Rfam family: Bacterial small subunit ribosomal RNA
Source: RNAcentral